UCCAAUGGCGUAUAUUAAAGUUGUUGCAGUUAAAAAGCUCGUAGCUGAAUUUCGGGGUUAGUAGGUUGGUCAUGCCUCUGGUAUGUACUGAUCUCACCGAUUCCUCCUUCCUGAUGAACCGUGAUGCCAUUAAUUUGGUGUUGCGGGGAAUUUGGACUGCUACUUUGAAAAAAUUAGAGUGUUUAAAGCAAGCUAACGCUUGAAUACAUUAGCAUGGAAUAAUGAAAUAGGACGUUCGAUCCUAUUUUGUUGGUUUCUAGGAUUGACGUAAUGAUUAAUAGGGAUAGUUGGGGGCAUUAGUAUUCAAUUGUCAGAGGUGAAAUUCUUGGAUUUAUUGAAGACUAACUACUGCGAAAGCAUUUGCCAAGGAUGUUUUCAUUAAUCAAGAACGAAAGUUAGGGGAUCGAAGACGAUCAGAUACCGUCGUAGUCUUAACCAUAAACUAUGCCGACUAGGGAUCGGAUGAUGUUAAUUUUUUAAUGGCUCAUUCGGCGCCUUACGGGAAAC
This 507-nucleotide ribosomal RNA is filed under the name uncultured glomeraceous AM fungus. Its description in RNAcentral is "SSU rRNA". It matches the Rfam family "Eukaryotic small subunit ribosomal RNA", at positions 590 to 1098 of the family's 1831-position model. The record is from RNAcentral. Lineage: Eukaryota; Fungi; Glomeromycota; Glomeromycetes; Glomerales; Glomeraceae.